CUGCUCGCUUCGGCAGCACACAUAUGAACAUUGGAAUGAAACAGAGAAGGUUAGCAUGGCCCCUGCGAAAGGAUGACAUGAAAAUUAAUGAAGAGUUCCAUAUUUUA
This is a small nuclear RNA of Echinops telfairi (small Madagascar hedgehog), 107 nucleotides long. Lineage: Eukaryota; Metazoa; Chordata; Mammalia; Afrosoricida; Tenrecidae. The record is from Ensembl.